AACGCGAAGAACCUUACCUACCCUUGACAUCCUAGGAAUCUUGCAGAGAUGCGGGAGUGCCGAAAGGAACCUGGAGACAGGUGCUGCAUGGCUGUCGUCAGCUCGUGUUGUGAGAUGUUGGGUUAAGUCCCGUAACGAGCGCAACCCUUAUCCUUAGUUGCCAACAUGUAAUGGUGGGGACUCUAAGGAGACUGCCGGUGAUGAACCGGAGGAAGGCGGGGACGACGUCAAGUCAUCAUGGCCUUUAUGGGUAGGGCUACACACGUGCUACAAUGGGCAGUACAGAGGGUCGCGAAGCCGCGAGGUGAAGCCAAUCCCAGAAAGCUGCUCGUAGUCCGGAUCGGAGUCUGCAACUCGACUCCGUGAAGUCGGAAUCGCUAGUAAUCGCGAAUCAGAAUGUCGCGGUGAAUACGUUCCCGGGCCUUGUACACACCGGCUAC
RNAcentral lists this ribosomal RNA (440 nucleotides) under uncultured bacterium. Its description in RNAcentral is "bacterial SSU rRNA". It matches the Rfam family "Bacterial small subunit ribosomal RNA", at positions 958 to 1397 of the family's 1533-position model. The record is from RNAcentral.